UUGCUCCAGCCUGCAGUUAUCCGUACUUGGGUUGAUCCGUAACACCAUACGCCGCCUUCAUUCGAAGAACGCGGAAAUCAGCAAGCAUGAUUAUGCAUUCUUUUCAAAAUAAUUCCUCUCCAAAUUAACUUCCGCGGAGUCUGAAUGAUUUACCAAAGAACCCAAAGACUGAUGAUUUACCAAAGAACCCAAAGACUGAACAGCUGAUGAGGAAAUCAGAGGGCUUCAUGAUAAUUGCCUCAACAUUCCGUCAUAUAUUGAUGACCUGAACCUCAGCAUACACAGAUUUCACUAUGGAUUGCUUUUCUUCUUUCUGCACUCCCUGCUCUCAAGUUUGAGCUUGACGACAUCACAAGCUGGGAGAGAAAACCAAUGCAUCUAUGACCAACAAUCCACUACUUCUAUUAAAUCUAAUGUGUUUUUGCUCUCUUGCACUCGUUUGCACAACAUGAUCAAUUUAGGUAUUGUGUUAUUCAUUGCUGCUACUUUAAACUUCAAAUUGUGCUUCAGUGCGUGUGCUCGUGCUGAAUAUGAGGUAAAUGGAGAAUGCUGCCCCAUGUGCGCACCAGGAAAUUAUGUUUAUUGGCAUUGUACUGUAGAUACAAGUACAACUUGUGUUCCAUGUCCUGGAUCAACUUACACUGAUGAACUCAAUGGGUUGCAUAAAUGCUUGCCUUGCUCUUUGUGUGACUCAGAACUAGGUCUGAGAAUAAAGAAAACUUGCACACGCUCUGCAGAUACUGUUUGUGAGCCACUGGAGGGAUCCUACUGCACUGAGCGAAUGAAAGACAGCUGUAGAUUGGCUGUAAAGCACUCUGAAUGUCAGCCUGGGCAAUAUGUCAAACAAAAAGGAACAUCAUUUACUAAUACUGUAUGUGAUAACUGCACGGUGGGCACUUACUCUAAUGGCUCUUUCACUGUCUGUCGACCACAUUCAAAGUAUAAAUUAUUACUCAGUACCAAUUCCAGAGAGUGAUGGUCAAUGUGAACCGACAUCACCAGACUCAGUGACCCUUCUUAUAUUCAACACUAGUAGCUCUGUACAUCAAUCAGCUGCCUGUUCUGUUUCAAGUGGAGACAUGCAAUGUGUGACCUGAUAUUGAAAGAAAUUUCAUCUUGGUCGUAAGGAAUCCAGAUGUGCUACCAAAAAACCUGAAGACUCCAUAAACAGCUGACGAGCAAAUCUUCUGUGGUGAAUGGUAAAUGGAAAACACUGCAUCGUCAUUAUAGUGAAAUGAUCAGCGCUUGGAUGUCUUAAAGCUUUAUCAAAGCAGCAUGGAAUGCCAUUAGGAUCUGUGAAGGUGAUGUUUGCAAAGUCUUCAGGAAGCAGAAGAAGAACACGGGGACAUUUUUUUGAUUCAGCCAGUUGCAUAAUGUCACGCCGAGAGUAAAAUCGUAUUAGCGCAGUUCAGUAGCUCCAUGCGUUCGUUACUGUCGCCUCUCAGUGCGACUGCUUUUUGCGCGUGUUCGAAACCCUUGCCAAACAAGCUUUUUUAUUUGAUUUCCGUACUUCUACGGGCCAUCCCAGCUAACACAGUUACGUCGUGACAACGUUACUGGACCGGACCAUAUUCGUCGCAGCGACGUACCAAAUAACGUUCCAGCGACGUAACUUUGUGAUUCCCAUAUUCGUCGUGGCGACGUUAUUUCUUACGUCGCUGGAACGUGGUGAGUACGUCUCAGCGACCAAACUGGCACGUUGUGAGGACGUGACUCCAAAGGACCAGACUGGUCGCAGCAACGUCCCAAAUAACGUACCAGCAAUGUAACUCUGUGAUUCCCAUAUUCGUCGUGGCGACGUUACAGUGUUACGUUGGUGGGACGUGACAAGUACGUCCUAACAACCAAACUACCAUAUUCCUUAUAUUUUAAAUUUUUACUUCUCACCUUUAGUCUGGUCCAGAGGAUGUGCUCGUACCACCUUUAAAUCGGUAUAUAAAUGACAAACUCAAACAUUUUCUGCUAUAAAAAAUAAAGCACUUAAUUCUAAUUUUUUUUAAUCGUUAUAGGAGAUUUUAGUGAAUAUAUUCAAUACAUACAUGCAAACCAUUACAAAAACAUUAUAUUCUAAACAUUAAAUGAGCAAAAACAGUGCAUUCAUUUAUUAAUCAGCAUUUAUUCAGUGUUAUUUCUGCAAACACUAUGCCAAUACAUUCUGAACAUUACACCUAUUCUUUAACCAUGCAAAGUGUUACCAAGUCAUGAGCACAGAUAAUUGAACACAUCAGUACAUAAAUCAUGUAAAUUUUACUGAAUUGUUUUAAUUUUACUGAAAAGUUUCUCAUUACUGAUGGGUAUAGUUAACGAUUUUAUCUGUAAAAAUGAUCAAUAAUUAUCAAUACUCAUUGACAACUCCCUAUAAUCUGGUACAAAAAAAGACAGAAUUCAGUAGUGACUUCUUUAAUACUUUAAGUUAAUUUGUUUCCUGAGUGUCCUGUGUAUGAAACACCUGCUACAAAUAUCUGAUGAUGAUGUGCUUCAAUACUGCUUUACUAUCAAAAGCAAAACCUAAACAAUAUUGUCAUUACCAAAGGACCAUAGUACCCGAGUACUCUGAUGUCAAACAUGUUCUUCCUCCUCUUUGCCAUCCUGAGCCUGUACUGCCAAUAUCGUUCUCUGGCACCUGAAAGGGAGGAUCACCCUGUUAAUGUUGCUAAUGUAUGUACACAAUCAGUCAAAAAUCUGCAGUCUUUGUGUUUCAAUGUUUUUUGAUAAAAGUCUAUUCAAGUCUAUUUAAUCAAACUUACAGUACAAAACUGUAAUAUUGUGAAAUAUUAAUUUUAACUUAAAAUGUUUUCUAUUGUUUUUCAAAUACACUUUAAAAUGUAUUUCAUUCCUGUGAGGCAAAGCUGAAUUUUUCAGUUGCCUUAACUCCAGUCUUCAGGGUCACAUGAUCACUCAUGAUGAAUUGAUGCUCAAGAAAGAUUUCUGAUUAUCAAUGUUGAAAACAGUUGUGCUACUAUAUAUUUCUGUGUAAAUUGUGGUUUUUCAGAAUUAUUUUAUGAAUACAAAAACAAACAAAACAAAACAAAAAAGCUUUUUUUUUAUUCUUUUGUAACAUUAUAAAUGUAUUUACUAUCACUUUUGAUCAAUUAAAUGCAUCCUUGCUAUUAAUGUCUUCCCAAAGAAAAGAAAAUCUUAGUGACUCCAACCUUUUGAACUGUAGUGUACACAAAAAAAUGUAGGCAGCACAACUGUUUUCAACAACACCAAUAAUAAUCAGAAAUGUUUCUUGAGCAGCAAAUCAGCAUAUUAAGAUGAUUUUGAACACUUACAGCUGGAGUAAUGAUGCUGAAAAUUCAGCUUUGAUCACAGAAAUGAUUAACAUUUUAAGAUUAAUUUCAAAGUUUGACCAACAGUAUACAUUACUACAUUUAAAUGAAAACACAUUUUGUAAAAAACAAUGAACACAUUCUCAAAGAAUUUACGUUCUGAUGAUUACUUCCCUCCCUCACAGCUGCCUUGUUCAGUGGUUCCCAGACUUCCUCAUUUUUCACAUUUCCUUUGAAUCUACACACACACACACACACACACACAAACAAACAAAAAAAAAAAAAAAAAAAAAAAAAAAAAAAAAAAACAGACAAUUUAAUAAGUCACCCCAGACUUUUUUUGAUGGUGGCCACAGACUGUCAAGGUGCCUUUUGAAAUCUUAAGUGGUUCUGCAGCUUCUAAAGUAAAGGCAGAAUCUAGGGCCUUAUUCACAGAGAAUUUUAUCUUACUACUAUGUGUCCUAGCUAGGAUAUUUAGUUUACAACCUAUUUACAAAAGAGUCUACAAUAUCUAAAAAGAGGGUUCAGUCAAUGCAUAGACCAGGGAUCCUCAAAUCUGGCCCAUGAGAUCCACUUUCCUGCAGAGUUUAGCUCUAACCCUAAUCAAACACAUCUGAGCAUGCCAAUCAAUGUCUUCAGGAUCAUGAGAAAAUCACAGGCAGGUGAGUUUGAUCAGGGUUGGAGCUAAACUCUGCAGUGGAUUGUCCUUUCUGGGUAAGAUUUGAGGAACCCUGGCAUAGACUUUCUUUUUUGUUAAAUUUCCACACUGUGCAUGGGUUGGAGCUCUUAAUACUGAAGGAUUGGACGAUCCUCAAAUGCAAACAGUGUGUGUUUUGCCUUAGAGCAACCAUACAUUUGUGUUGUGUUUUCCUUUCUUUUUAUUCUUCAUGUAUUCUUUAUUCAUUUAUAAUCAGUAAUCAUUUCAUCAUUUUAUUAUUCCAUUUAAUCAUAUAAUCAUUUAUAAUAAUCAUUAUAUCCAUUUAUAUAUCCAUUUUAUAGAUUCAUUAAUUGAUUAGUUAUUUAUAUUAUAUUAUAGUUGUUUUUUAUAUAUAUAUUUUCCUCUGUUGUUUAGUCUUAUGACUGUGUAGCUUCAAUGGCUGUUUUGUCUUCAUAAAUAAGAGAUACAAGGGAAUGUUUAUGGAAACUCAAGGUUAAUGGGAUGUUGUUGUGAACCAGUUUGGUAUAACAAUACUUGUUGAAUUUGUGUUCUCCAGACAAAGUCUGAGCAUUGAGACAUACGCAACUAAGACUAUUCAAUAAACUCUGCUCCUUUUUACCAUCAUACUUCGUCUUCUGCUUCUGCUCUUCACUUUCAUUGGCUUUUUCCUCAGUCAACUUCUUGGCUGAUAGAAGACUGUUAAUAGUGUUUUGGGUAUUUUGGGUACCAGACAAGACCUCAUGUUAACAGGGUUUGGGUAUUAG
RNA transcript from Labeo rohita (rohu), 4694 nucleotides. It is a transcript of the gene named tumor necrosis factor receptor superfamily member 14, with no coding region annotated. The transcript is spliced from 8 exons. NCBI's taxonomy places the organism in Eukaryota, Metazoa, Chordata, Actinopteri, Cypriniformes, Cyprinidae. The record is from RefSeq and is a predicted model, not a curated record.